Non-coding RNA from Sturnus vulgaris (Common starling), 392 nucleotides. NCBI's taxonomy places the organism in Eukaryota, Metazoa, Chordata, Aves, Passeriformes, Sturnidae. The record is from RefSeq and is a predicted model, not a curated record.
CUCCCAAAGGCCAUUUUAGUGACCUUCGGCAAGUUCAUGGCAAAUAAAUAAUGGGAUUGAACCUAAUUUCCUUUACAAAGGAGAGCAGUGUGGCUACUAUUUGCAAACAUCCAGGAGCUCAGUGUUUCUCAGUGUUUAAAGGGACAGUCCAAUAUCUAAGGAAAUAGUCAGUGUAAUCGGAUGUGAUCAUUGCUAUGGCAACAAUUUCUUCCAGAUCAGUGGAUAAAAUGCUCGUUUCAAACUUGUGUCUAUAACUUGAGGGGAUGGAUGAAGAUUUCUAAUGAUGAAUAAGAGAUAUUCCUUCCCCUGCAGUGGACAAAAGUGAGCAGAAAUUCAGGCCUUCAGUCCUGCAGCUGCAACAGGGUAGGUAGGGGCACAUCCUUGUGCUCACA